UACGUAUGGUGCAAGCGUUAUCCGGAUUUACUGGGUGUAAAGGGAGCGCAGGCGGUUCUGCAAGUCUGAUGUGAAAGCCCGGGGCUCAACCGCGGGACUGCAUUGGAAACUGCGGGACUGGAGUGUCGGAGAGGUAGGCGGAAUUCCUAGUGUAGCGGUGAAAUGCGUAGAUAUUAGGAGGAACACCAGUGGCGAAGGCGGCCUACUGGACGGUGACUGACGCUGAGGCUCGAAAGCGUGGGGAGCAAACAGG
RNAcentral lists this ribosomal RNA (253 nucleotides) under uncultured bacterium. RNAcentral's name for it is "partial 16S ribosomal RNA". It matches the Rfam family "Bacterial small subunit ribosomal RNA", at positions 524 to 776 of the family's 1533-position model. The record is from RNAcentral.